GGGGCCGUGGUCUAGCGGUAUGACGCCGCCCUCACACGGCGGAGGUCGUGGGUUCGAUUCCCACCGGCCCCA
This 72-nucleotide transfer RNA is filed under the name Candidatus Calditenuaceae archaeon HR02. It matches the Rfam family "tRNA". Rfam says of the family: Transfer RNA (tRNA) molecules are approximately 80 nucleotides in length. Their secondary structure includes four short double-helical elements and three loops (D, anti-codon, and T loops). The record is from Rfam by way of RNAcentral. Lineage: Archaea; Thermoproteati; Nitrososphaerota; Candidatus Caldarchaeales; Candidatus Calditenuaceae.